Non-coding RNA from Podarcis lilfordi (Lilford's wall lizard), 78 nucleotides. NCBI's taxonomy places the organism in Eukaryota, Metazoa, Chordata, Lepidosauria, Squamata, Lacertidae. The record is from the annotation of a GenBank genome assembly.
ACACAGUGGGAAUAGCUCAGUUGGCAGAGCAUGAGACUCUUAAUCUCAGGGUUGUGGGUUCGAGCCCCAUGUUGGGUG